UGGGGAAUAUUGGGGCAAUGGGCGCAAGCCUGACCCAGCAACGCCGCGUGAAGGAAGAAGGCUUUCGGGUUGUAAACUUCUUUUCUUGGGGACGAAGAAAGUGACGGUACCCAAGGAAUAAGCCACGGCUAACUACGUGCCAGCAGCCGCGGUAAUACGUAGGUGGCAAGCGUUAUCCGGAUUUAUUGGGUUGUAAAGGGCGUGUAGGCGGGAAUGCAAGUCAGAUGUGAAAAGCUAUGGGCUCAACCCAUAGCCUGCAUUUGAAACUGUAUUUCUUGAGUGCUGGAGAGGCAAUCGGAAUUCCGUGUGUAGCGGUGAAAUGCGUAGAUAUACGGAGGAACACCAGUGGCGAAGGCGGAUUGCUGGACAGUAACUGACGCUGAGGCGCGAAAGCGUGGGGAGCAAACAGGAUUAGAUACCC
Molecule: ribosomal RNA, 421 nt
Filed under: uncultured bacterium
Lineage: Bacteria
Description: bacterial SSU rRNA
Rfam family: Bacterial small subunit ribosomal RNA
Source: RNAcentral